UACAGAGGUCUCAAGCGUUGUUCGGAUUUAUUGGGCGUAGAGGGCGCGUAGGCGGCGGGGUAAGUCGGGUGUGAAAUCUCAGGGCUCAACCCUGAAACUGCACUUGAUACUGCUCUGCUUGAGGACUGGAGAGGAGACUGGAAUUCACGGUGUAGCAGUGAAAUGCGCAGAUAUCAGGAGGAACACCGAUGGCGAAGGCAGUGUUCUGGGCCAGUACUGACGCUGAGGAGCGAAAGCGUGGGGAGCAAACAGG
Molecule: ribosomal RNA, 253 nt
Filed under: uncultured bacterium
Lineage: Bacteria
Description: partial 16S ribosomal RNA
Rfam family: Bacterial small subunit ribosomal RNA
Source: RNAcentral